RNAcentral lists this unclassified non-coding RNA (382 nucleotides) under Mortierella sp. RNAcentral's name for it is "partial contains 5.8S ribosomal RNA, internal transcribed spacer 2, and large subunit ribosomal RNA". The stretch from base 1 to 71 matches the Rfam family "5.8S ribosomal RNA", at positions 84 to 154 of the family's 154-position model. The record is from RNAcentral. Lineage: Eukaryota; Fungi; Mortierellomycota; Mortierellomycetes; Mortierellales; Mortierellaceae.
GUGAAUCAUCGAAUCUUUGAACGCAUAUUGCGCUCUUUGGUAUUCCGAAGAGCAUGCUUGUUUGAGUAUCAGUAAACACCUCAAAGCUUUUGAUUUCUUUUUGAAAGCUUUGGACUUGAGCAAUCCCAACACCAAUCUUUUUCAGAUCGGCGGCGGGUUGCUUGAAAUGCAGGUGCAGCUGGACAUUCUCCUGAGCUAAAAGCAUAUUCAUUUAGUCCCGUCAAACGGAUUAUUACUUUUGCUGCAGCUAACAUAAAGGGAGUUUGACCGUAUUGGCUGACUGAUGCAGGAUUUCACAAGGGUCGGCAACGAUUCUUGUUAAACUCGAUCUCAAAUCAAGUAAGACUACCCGCUGAACUUAAGCAUAUCAAUAAGCGGAGGA